Long non-coding RNA from Xenopus laevis (African clawed frog), 1210 nucleotides. RefSeq lists it as uncharacterized. The record is from RefSeq and is marked predicted. The transcript has 3 exons. NCBI's taxonomy places the organism in Eukaryota, Metazoa, Chordata, Amphibia, Anura, Pipidae.
UGGAAUGGACCAAGUAUGUUUCUUUAAAAUAGUCCUUGUCAUUCAAUCCCCCCCCUGUAGACAGAGGUGGCAGAUGAACUGAAUAGCGGUCACUCCCACAAUCUUCUUUAGACAUAUAGCAGAGAAGAAAAUCAUUUCCCCUUCAUAUCUACUUAGCCGGCUCAAGAAUUAAGCAGGAGCAACCAAUCUAACAAAAAUGAAUAAGAAAAAUCUCAACGGUCGCCGCAAUAUAAUGUCCCAUGAUGCUGAUGGUUUGAAAAACUUUUGGGAGAAAAAAAUAGACAAGCAAACAACAGAAUACAAGUGUGAACAUGAGCGGAAAAAUAAAAGUGCCCUUUCAAAACUACGGGAAGAAUGGUCACAGAGGCUGGAAUCAAGGAUCAACAUGCUACAAUCUUUAAAUGAGGACCAAAAGAAGCAGCUUUUUGGGGGAUCAAAGGAAACCCAGCAGCACAAUGCAAAUACUGCAGCAUAAAAUACACAAAUACAAAUCUUGAUUUAUAAAUUAAACCUAUUUGUGCUUGAAAAAUAUGUUUUGUAUACUAUAGCGAGCCUUUAAAAAUACAAUAAUCUCAAAUCUUUUAGAAGGCAUUUAAGUCCUAAUAAUCAUCGAAUUCUAGUCAAUAUGCAGUUUAGUCAUGGUUUAUUGUAUUGUGCUUUAUUUUAGAGAAAUAAAAGAUAUUAUUAAUAAAGAGAAACACUGGCUACAAUACAUCUAGAAUAAUUAUAGGUGAAAACAAGGGAAAAUUUAAUGAGCAGUCUUAAGAACAAAGAGUGAAGACUUGAUGUUUACAAGGGCUGAACUCCAUGGUGCGUUUUCAUCAGAUCCGACGCGAUGAGAGGAAGAGAAUGCGAGGAGACGGAUGCAUCGAAUAUAAGGUAAAAGAAACCUUGUCGCUGUGUGCAUCCGACACAACAUGACUGUCAGAUGCAAACACGGCACGUUCCGUCUUCAUCUGACAGUCGUGUCAGAUGCACACAGCGAAAAGGUCCGACAUUUCUAUUACUUACCUUAUACACAUCUUUCUCCUUGCAUCCUCUUCCUCUCAUUGCGUCGGUUCUGAUGAAGACGUACCGCGGAUUGUGUAAUUAUAGGAACAGUAGGGGCAGAUUUAUCAAGGGUCGAAUUUCGAGGGGUUAAAUCCCUUGAAAUUCGACUGGGGAAUAGAAUCGAAUAGGGAAUUCGAGCAAAUUCACGUGCUGGCGAAUA